This 253-nucleotide ribosomal RNA is filed under the name uncultured bacterium. RNAcentral's name for it is "partial 16S ribosomal RNA". It matches the Rfam family "Bacterial small subunit ribosomal RNA", at positions 524 to 776 of the family's 1533-position model. The record is from RNAcentral.
UACGGAGGGUGCGAGCGUUGUCCGGAAUCACUGGGCGUAAAGGGCGCGUAGGUGGCGCGAGUAGUCAACGGUGAAAGCCCGGGGCUCAACCCAGGGACUGCGCUUGAUACGGCCGUGCUGGAGGAUGGAAGAGGGCCGCGGAAUUCCCAGUGUAGAGGUGAAAUUCGUAGAUAUUGGGAAGAACACCGGUGGCGAAGGCGGCGGCCUGGUCCAUUUCUGACGCUGAGGCGCGACAGCGUGGGGAGCAAACAGG